This 1121-nucleotide long non-coding RNA is filed under the name Triticum aestivum (bread wheat). RNAcentral's name for it is "long non-coding RNA (TAES_LNC027665)". Lineage: Eukaryota; Viridiplantae; Streptophyta; Magnoliopsida; Poales; Poaceae. The record is from RNAcentral.
CUCCAUAUCAAGGGAAGAGCGGGGUAGUGUGGGCGAGGGAAGUCCUUGUGUACCAGGUGAAGCUCAUUCUUCCUCUCAUUCUCCCCCUUUUGAUUAUGCAUGCCGCACUUCCAUGUCUCUUCAACCCUUUUAUUUCUCUUAACAUUUUCCUAAAUGUCAUAAUUGUCACAAUUGUGCAGGUUUCUGAACGAAACACAAAAGUAAACAAGAUGCAGGAAAAUUUUGGUGAAGAACAUUUUUCCAUAGCUUGUGAACAUGUUGGUCCUCCGAUUUUGAUUUUUCAUUAUCUGUGGUCCAUGCAUGCUUUUGAUAUUCAAUCACUUUAUUUGUUUACAUCCUACUAGAUUCUAAUUUCAGAAUUGGUAUUCUAUUUAGCUCUAAGACCUUGCCUUUAUUUUGUAUGAAGUUUACUAAUACAUUAAAUUGCAUGCAUGUUAGAUAUUCGAUGGGUGCUACUGUUUCUGAUUACAUGCAAUUCCACUUGGUUGCACUUUUUAUUAUGUUUUUGUACAGAUCCUUUGAAGGUAGUGCUGUUGCUGAAUCUUGAUGCUAUGGAUAUUGUCUGCUUUCAACCCCACCAUGUACUACUUACCAGAUAUGGAGGCUAUGUAAUAUUUGUCCUCUAUUGUCUUUCAGUAAUUCCUUCUUCCUGAAAUUUACCUACAAACUUUAUGACUUGGCUGCAGUAUAUGUUGCCUUUGGGUUAUGGGACUUGCCGGCGCAACCUAUCAUUUGAUAAAAUAUAUCAAUGUGGGGGAAUAUACUUGUGCUGGAUUGUUUGAGCCAUCAGAUAAGCCCAUGUUGUUGUAAAUUUUGCUCGUCUGUCUAUUGAUGAGAGUAGGAAAUAGUCGUGGGUCUCCUCCUCUUUCAUGUUAUAUCACUUCUUCUUUACGCUUCCACGGCGUAAUUCCUUAUUUGUGCGCCAACGCCAUUAUUUUGCCUGAUCUCCUAUGUUGAAGUAUGGUGGCUUUACUUUUCUUGUUCCAUGUGAUACCAUUACUUGAGAUGUCCAUGGUUAAUUAUCUUAAUAAGAGUCAGCAAACACAAAACACAUCCAGUGUGCCCAUUAACGCCAUCCAAAUAAUAAUAUGACUAAUCUGCACAUGUAGUUUCAAAAUGGG